UUUUCUUUUUCAAUAUAAAACACAAGAGAAUAGACACAAGAGAUUUCCUAUUCUACAGUUAUUUCGAGUAUUGUCGUAAGUCUUGGUCUUUUGUAUCUCCUAAGAAGUAAAGAAGAGCAAACGACACUUACGGACGAUAAAGCCAUGCAUGCACCAGCUGCCCAUGGAGGCAAUUUAACCCCCAAAGAAGGAAAGAAAACUCCAGCAGCGAUAGGAAUAGCUAUUACAUUGUAGGCCAUUGCAAACACGUAAUUUAAUCGAAUCCGAUUGAAAGUCUUCCUUGAGAGAUCAAUGGCUGUAAUUACAUCUUCUAAAUUAUUUCUCAUCAGGACAAAGUCGGCUGCCUCAAUGGCAAUAUCAG
Molecule: unclassified non-coding RNA, 361 nt
Filed under: Hevea brasiliensis (rubber tree)
Lineage: Eukaryota; Viridiplantae; Streptophyta; Magnoliopsida; Malpighiales; Euphorbiaceae
Source: RNAcentral